This 253-nucleotide ribosomal RNA is filed under the name uncultured bacterium. RNAcentral's name for it is "partial 16S ribosomal RNA". It matches the Rfam family "Bacterial small subunit ribosomal RNA", at positions 524 to 776 of the family's 1533-position model. The record is from RNAcentral.
UACGAAGGGGGCUAGCGUUGCUCGGAAUCACUGGGCGUAAAGGGUGCGUAGGCGGGUCUUUAAGUCAGGGGUGAAAUCCUGGAGCUCAACUCCAGAACUGCCUUUGAUACUGAGGAUCUUGAGUCCGGGAGAGGUGAGUGGAACUGCGAGUGUAGAGGUGAAAUUCGUAGAUAUUCGCAAGAACACCAGUGGCGAAGGCGGCUCACUGGCCCGGUACUGACGCUCAUGCACGAAAGCGUGGGGAGCAAACAGG